Ictalurus punctatus (channel catfish) is the source of this 783-nucleotide long non-coding RNA. RefSeq lists it as uncharacterized. The record is from RefSeq and is a predicted model, not a curated record. Lineage: Eukaryota; Metazoa; Chordata; Actinopteri; Siluriformes; Ictaluridae. The transcript is spliced from 4 exons.
CACAACUAGCGUUGAGUUAUCAUCACAAAAUGUGAUGUGUAAGAAAGUUCACAUAUGGUCUCUAUUGUUCUAUGAAUCUUGACAAGAACUGGCCACUGGGGGUGCUAUACGCAGGGAGUGUUUGGACCCCACAGACUGCCUCUUAUGGCUAUAUUACUAUUAUUAGCAGUAGAAGUAGUUGUAUUAUUAUUAUUAUUGCAGUAGUAGUAGUGAUAUUUCCUACCGUUUUUUAAGUUUCUUUUUCCACCUCUGGUUCCUUAGUCCAACGGAUCUGACGCACUGAAGGCUGGACAUUGGCAGAUAUCAUCUAUGAUGAAAAAGCCUCCCUUGCGAGACGAGAAUCUUCACCAUCUGAAUCAUGAGUGCCGGUGCCCGUCGUCAGUCCCUUCUCUCUCCGUUACUGGACCUGGAUCUGGAUCUCGAUCUGGACACUCAUUACCAGCUUGUGCAUCUCACUGCUGAUAUCAUGAUGCUACUUAACUAUCUUCGCAGCACCCGCUCUAGGAAUGGAGAUCCGGGGUUCCCCCCUCUUCUUCGAUACAGAAUCUGCCUACAGCAUCUACAGCAAUCUACAGCAAAUAUGCUGUCCGAAAGAACCCGUUAACAUCAAGGGCAACAAGUGCUGAGAUUAUGACGGUGAUGAAAAGGUGGCUGCAGCUGGCUUCAGACCGUGGAGGAGGAUGGAAGAGGUGCAACAAACAGUAGCUUGCCCUGACUAGGAACGCAUAAACCAUUGAAAUCAACGAGGAAAAAAUUCAGCUAAUUGACGCUCUCUCCCUGGGC